CCCUUAGAUGUUCUGGGCUGCACGCGCGCUACACUGAUGCACUCAACGAGUUUACGACCUUGCCCGAUAGGGUUGGGUAAUCUUUUUAAAAUGCAUCGUGAUGGGGAUAGAUUAUUGCAAUUAUUAAUCUUCAACGAGGAAUUCCUAGUAAGCGCGAGUCAUCAGCUCGCGUUGAUUACGUCCCUGCCCUUUGUACACACCGCCCGUCGCUCCUACCGAUUGAAUGGUCCGGUGAAAUCUUCGGAUUGCUGACCAAGAUCCAGCAAUGGAGCUUGGUUGCGAGAAGUUGAUUAAACCUUAUUAUUUAGAGGAAGGAGAAGUCGUAACA
RNAcentral lists this ribosomal RNA (328 nucleotides) under uncultured eukaryote. RNAcentral's name for it is "partial 18S ribosomal RNA". It matches the Rfam family "Eukaryotic small subunit ribosomal RNA", at positions 1470 to 1796 of the family's 1831-position model. The record is from RNAcentral.